Molecule: transfer RNA, 77 nt
Filed under: Oceanotoga sp. DSM 15011
Lineage: Bacteria; Thermotogati; Thermotogota; Thermotogae; Petrotogales; Petrotogaceae
Description: tRNA-Ile
Rfam family: tRNA
About the family: Transfer RNA (tRNA) molecules are approximately 80 nucleotides in length. Their secondary structure includes four short double-helical elements and three loops (D, anti-codon, and T loops).
Source: RNAcentral
GGGCUAGUAGCUCAGGCGGUUAGAGCGCACGCCUGAUAAGCGUGAGGUCGGAGGUUCGAGUCCUCCCUGGCCCACCA